UAGGGAAUCUUCCACAGUGGGCGAAAGCCUGAUGGAGCAACGCCGCGUGUGUGAUGAAGGGUUUCGGCUCGUAAAACACUGUUGUAAGAGAAGAAUGACAUUGAGAGUAACUGUUCAAUGUGUGACGGUAUCUUACCAGAAAGGAACGGCUAAAUACGUGCUAG
RNAcentral lists this ribosomal RNA (164 nucleotides) under uncultured bacterium. RNAcentral describes it as "partial 16S rRNA". It matches the Rfam family "Bacterial small subunit ribosomal RNA", at positions 355 to 511 of the family's 1533-position model. The record is from RNAcentral.